RNAcentral lists this ribosomal RNA (432 nucleotides) under uncultured bacterium. Its description in RNAcentral is "partial 16S ribosomal RNA". It matches the Rfam family "Bacterial small subunit ribosomal RNA", at positions 29 to 507 of the family's 1533-position model. The record is from RNAcentral.
ACGAACGCUGGCGGCAUGCCUAACACAUGCACGUCGAACGAGACCUUCGGGUCUAGUGGCGCACGGGUGCGUAACGCGUGGGAACCUGCCCUUAGGUUCGGAAUAACUCCCCGAAAGGGGUGCUAAUACCGGAUAAUGUCUUCGGACCAAAGAUUUAUCGCCUUUGGAUGGGCCCGCGUUGGAUUAGCUAGUUGGUAGGGUAAAGGCCUACCAAGGCGACGAUCCAUAGCUGGUCUGAGAGGAGGAUCAGCCACACUGGGACUGAGACACGGCCCAGACUCCUACGGGAGGCAGCAGUGGGGAAUAUUGGACAAUGGGCGAAAGCCUGAUCCAGCAAUGCCGCGUGAGUGAUGAAGGCCUUAGGGUUGUAAAGCUCUUUUACCCGGGAUGAUAAUGACAGUACCGGGAGAAUAAGCUCCGGCUAACUCCGUG